UGUUGCGUAUUAUAUACAAUCUUUUUUUUUUGACACGAUGGACAGGUCGGCACCGAUGAUAGUUUCAGUAAAAUGGAUUGUCGCAUUUGUGCCGUUGGCUUUUAGGCGAUCUCUCUUUUGCAGCAAGUCCAUAGCAUUGCGAGCGAUGGAGACUUUGGGAGUGUUUUCUAAAAAAAAAUGCGAGGAAAAUAUGAAGGUGCUUUUAUGGAUGCGUGGAGAGCCACUUUGAAGAACGAAAAUCUUUCGAUAUGGUAAACAGGCACAAAUGAGAGAAAAUUGACUAUCCGAAUACAUGUUUAAACAUUCAAGGCUGGCAGAAGGUGUAGAUACGGCUAUCACAAAGAACUAUGUAACUGGAGUAGAUAUUAUGCAGAUGGAUAUGUUGUUACCCUGCUAUUAUACAAAGCGGUGGAAAUUACUGGCUUACAUUUGCCGCCGUUAGUGACAACAAUACUCUCCACUUUGGUGUUGUUUGUUCAUUGGGAGUACGUUACAAAUUUUAUUGUUCAAACAUAGUGAGAACUUUGGUAAACCCCACAAAAAUAAUUGAGGAAAAUUGUAAUUUUUGGUUACAACUGGAAGCGGAGAUCUUGAAAAAGUUAGUCGCAGGAACAAAAUUAAGUAAAGUAUAUGAGGCUGGUAUUAAAUCCAGCAGCCAAGAGAAAAAACGAUUUCUCCUAUUUAUAUUCUAUAUCCUCUUCAUAAUAGUGCGGAUAUGGCGCGAUUCAGG
Long non-coding RNA from Solenopsis invicta (red fire ant), 730 nucleotides. RefSeq lists it as uncharacterized. The transcript has 4 exons. The record is from RefSeq and is a predicted model, not a curated record. NCBI's taxonomy places the organism in Eukaryota, Metazoa, Arthropoda, Insecta, Hymenoptera, Formicidae.